ACACCAUGUAUUGGGCAUUUUCUAAUUAACUCAUUGAAUCACUCCCAUGCUUCAUAUAAUGUUUCAUCCUCAAAUUGUCGAAAAGACGUAAUAUCAUUCUUCAAUUU
RNAcentral lists this small nucleolar RNA (107 nucleotides) under Gossypium hirsutum (cotton). RNAcentral's name for it is "Plant small nucleolar RNA R71". It matches the Rfam family "Plant small nucleolar RNA R71". From Rfam's summary of the family: R71 is a member of the C/D box family of snoRNAs containing the C (UGAUGA) and D (CUGA) box motifs. Multiple nearly identical copies of this snoRNA have been identified in Arabidopsis, and it is thought to function as a 2'-O-ribose methylation guide for 18S ribosomal RNA. The record is from Rfam by way of RNAcentral. Lineage: Eukaryota; Viridiplantae; Streptophyta; Magnoliopsida; Malvales; Malvaceae.